CCUACGGCCCGGAACCCUACAGCACCAAAACCCUACAGCCCUGUAACCCCAUAACCCUACGGCCCGGAACCCUACAGCCCCAAAACCCUACAGCCCUGUAACCCCAUAACCCUACGGCCCGGAACCCUACAGCCCUGUAACCCCAUAACCCUACGGCCCGGAACCCUACAGCCCCAUAACCCUACAGCCCCGUACCCUACAGCUCGUAACCCUACAGCCCUGUAACCCCGGAACCCUACAGCCCGGAACCCUACAGCCCUGUAGCCCUACAGCCCUGUAACCCCAUGGCCCCAUAACCCCAUAAUUCCAUAACCCUGGAACCCCACAGCCCCAAACUCCUUAUCCGUAUAACCCCGGAAUCCCUUAAACCCAUAACCCCACAGCCCCAUAACCCCAUAGUCGCUUAAACCCAUAGCCCCAUAAUCCCUUAUACCCAUAACCCCGUAAUCCCUUAAAACCAUAACCCCAUAAUCCCAUAAACCCAUAACCCCGCAUCCCCAUAACCUCAUAAUCCCUUAAAUCCAUAAUCCCAUAAACCCAUAACCUCACAGCCCAGUAACCCCAUAAGCCCGUAACCCCACAGCCCCAUAACCCUGUAAUCCCAUAAACCUAUAACCCCACAGCCCC
Molecule: long non-coding RNA, 627 nt
Filed under: Phasianus colchicus (ring-necked pheasant)
Lineage: Eukaryota; Metazoa; Chordata; Aves; Galliformes; Phasianidae
Description: lncRNA (ENSPCLG00000020248.1)
Source: RNAcentral